Molecule: transfer RNA, 83 nt
Filed under: Schistocephalus solidus
Lineage: Eukaryota; Metazoa; Platyhelminthes; Cestoda; Diphyllobothriidea; Diphyllobothriidae
Rfam family: tRNA
About the family: Transfer RNA (tRNA) molecules are approximately 80 nucleotides in length.
Source: Rfam by way of RNAcentral
GGCCUCGUGGCUCAGUUGGCUAGAGCGUUGGCUGUACUAAAGACUUCCCCUUGCUGGCGUGGGUUUGAAUCCCACUGAGGUCA